GGCUAGUCCGAUGGCAGUGGGUUAUCUGCCAUCAGUGAACUUAUUAACAUUAGUGUCACUAAAGUUGGUAUACCACCCCCCCACUGCUAAAUUUGACUGGCUUAAA
This 106-nucleotide Y RNA is filed under the name Cavia aperea (Brazilian guinea pig). Its description in RNAcentral is "Y RNA (ENSCAPG00000004368.1)". It matches the Rfam family "Y RNA". Rfam says of the family: Y RNAs are components of the Ro ribonucleoprotein particle (Ro RNP), in association with Ro60 and La proteins. The Y RNAs and Ro60 and La proteins are well conserved, but the function of the Ro RNP is not known. In humans the RNA component can be one of four small RNAs -- hY1, hY3, hY4 and hY5. Lineage: Eukaryota; Metazoa; Chordata; Mammalia; Rodentia; Caviidae. The record is from RNAcentral.